GCGCAGCAGUCGCGAAAACUCCGCAAUACGCGAAAGCGUGACGGGGCUACCCCGAGUGUCGUCCGCUGAGGACGACUUUUCCACGCUGUAAGGAGGCGUGGGAAUAAGGAGAGGGCAAGUCUGGUGUCAGCCGCCGCGGUAAUACCAGCUCUUCGAGUGGUAGGGAUGUUUAUUGGGCCUGAAGCAUCCGUAGCCGGCUGGACAAGUCCUCCGUUAAAUCCAGCGAUUCAAUCGUUGGAUUGCGAGGGAUACUGUUCGGCUAGGGGGUGAGAGAGGCCAACGGUAUUCCCGGGGUAGGGGUGAAAUCCUAUAAUCCCGGGAGGACCACCAGUGGCGAAGGCGGCCGACUAAAACGCGCCCGACGGUGAGGGACGAAAGCUGGGGGAGCGAACGGGAUUAGAUAUGAAGUUGAGUUUUUACCAGCUUCACUAGAAACCCCGGUAGUCC
Molecule: ribosomal RNA, 447 nt
Filed under: uncultured archaeon
Lineage: Archaea
Description: partial 16S ribosomal RNA
Rfam family: Archaeal small subunit ribosomal RNA
Source: RNAcentral